GCAGUGGUGGUUCAGUGGUAGAAUUCUUUGCCUUCCAUGCGGGAGACCUGGGUUCGAUUCCCAGCCAGUGCA
Molecule: transfer RNA, 72 nt
Filed under: Loxodonta africana (African savanna elephant)
Lineage: Eukaryota; Metazoa; Chordata; Mammalia; Proboscidea; Elephantidae
Rfam family: tRNA
About the family: Transfer RNA (tRNA) molecules are approximately 80 nucleotides in length. Their secondary structure includes four short double-helical elements and three loops (D, anti-codon, and T loops).
Source: Rfam by way of RNAcentral